AGAGCGCCUCGCCCCAGGGUCACCGCUGUCCGUCCCCGUGCGCUCCCAGAAGGGGUGGCCCUGCCCCCACGCAGGUCACACACACGAGAGACACAGGCAAGUUGCUAACUUUUGUCAGAUUAUUUCUUGGGAGCUGCGACGCCUCACGGGGUUGGGGCGGAUUCAGAGUUUCGAGUUGCCACUAACACGACUCCGGCCGUGCUCUCCUUGGCCCACCCGCGUCCCCCACUGUCCGCCACGCCGCGUUCAGCUCUCUUGUCCCGGGUGUCAACUUCACCCCCAGAUCCGGAGCAGCGCGCUCUGACGGCGUCCCCGGGGCCGAUAGCCACCUCCCGGAUCUGCGCCUGCUUGCAGCGGAUUGGGGGACUCGAUCCGGAUACUGUCCCACGGCCGCUCGUCCAGAACACUGGCGGCCUCCGCGGUGUCCCAGCCUGUGACCCCAAAUCCGCUCGAGAGCGCCUGAGCCCGGCCACCCAGCGAGGUCUCCUCCCACGGGCGGCCCCAGCGGAGGAGAUCCCAGCCCGGCGCCGGGUGCAAUGUCACUGGGGCUGCUUUCGGGAACCGCUGCCCGGGACUUGGCGUAGGUUCCCCACAGAGCUCCAGGCAGCUCCUCCAGUGUCGGCCGAAGACCCCUAAGCCCGAACCUCCACCCCGACCUUCUUCCUCUCCCAAAGCCCUGGGUGGUCGCCGCUGCCAAGGAAGGGGUCUCCCUUCGAAUGUCUUCCACUAGAAUCCCGGGGUCUUCAGUCCCAGCUCCACUGUCACACCCUCCUAGUCCCCUCCCCACCCCUUCAGUUCCCGGGUCCAGACAAUCAACCUUCCACUCCGAGAAUCCACAGGAAACUGCCCGAGCCCCAACUCAGGCGGACGCAGCCCCCGCGCACCCCGAGCAGGGUUCGCCUCCGCGCGCGCACUCACCACGGCUGGAGACACGCUGGAGUUUCCGGGAUUUGGGCAUGAAGGGGUUCGGAGGAGAAUACAGGGGUGUGGGUGUCCCGGACACUUGCCCCCUUCCCAGC
Molecule: long non-coding RNA, 1019 nt
Filed under: Homo sapiens (human)
Lineage: Eukaryota; Metazoa; Chordata; Mammalia; Primates; Hominidae
Description: HSALNT0350327
Source: RNAcentral